GUUUCCGCUCAGGCAAAUGCGAGAGCGGCUAAAGGGCCUGGGACCCCGGGGCCCUGUUCGGACAGCCCCGCCGGCCCGGGAGUCCGCCACCCGGCAGCCUCGCGGCGGGGCCCCGGUGCACGGCAGUGUGCGGAGGGGCGGCCCGCCUCCGGCCGCCGCUAACCUGAGCCUCUGGCUGCUGUGUCGCUCUCCGACUCCGGCAUCGACGAGGUCGCCAUCCUCUCGCCCCGGUCGCGGAGGAACCCAUCGGCCUCCCUCGAACCGGAACUACUUCCGCCGCCGCCCCCCGGGGAAAGAGAGAUCUGCGGGGUUUCAGAAGGUCUCUCAGACGACUCAGAGCCGUCGUCGGGUCCAGGGGGACUCGAGAAGUUCACAUGCUGCCCUGUGUUAGGGCUGAGAUCUGGGAGAGUGUCUAGAAGAACAAAGGCAACAGAAAGGAAGAGUGACUUCAGGCCUGCUCAUGGCUGGGGAAAAACACUCCCAGAAGCCAUAUACUGAUGAGUGAAAAACCCAGUGUGAGGGUGGGCUACCUCUAUACAUUUCUGGACACGGAGUCCUCUGAAGCCUCCAAAACCAUAAAUACUGAUGUCAUGUACUAGAUAGGGUUGUUUUUUGUUUUGUUUUUUGUUUUUUGUCAACACAAGCUAAAAUCAUCUGAGAGGAGGGAACCUCAAUUAAAAUGCCUCCAUGACACUGGGCUGUACAAUAGCUUGUUGGGAAUUAACUAGUGAUUAAUGGGGGGAAGGCCCAGCCCAUUGUAUAUGGUGCUAUCCCUGGGCUGGUGGUCCUGGGUUCUAUCAGAAAGCAGAUUGAGCAAGCCAUGGGGAGCAAGCCAGUAAGCAGCAUCCCUCCAUGGCCUCUGCAUCAGCUCCUGACCCGUUUGAGUUCCUGUUCUGACAUGUAUGUAUGUAUUUAUGAGUACUCUGCCACAUGCCAGAAGGGGGCAAAGAUCCCCUUUUAGAUGGUUGCCAGCCACUGUGUGGUUGCUGAGAAUUGAACUCAGGACCCCUGAAGGAGCAGCCAGUGCUCCGCACUGCUGAGCCAACUCCCCAGGUUCUGCCCUGACUUUCUUUGAUAAUGAACAUCAAUGUGGUGUAAACCAAAUAAACUUUCUCCUCCC
RNAcentral lists this long non-coding RNA (1120 nucleotides) under Mus pahari (shrew mouse). RNAcentral's name for it is "zinc finger protein 335, opposite strand (MGP_PahariEiJ_G0003404.1)". The record is from RNAcentral. Lineage: Eukaryota; Metazoa; Chordata; Mammalia; Rodentia; Muridae.